Molecule: ribosomal RNA, 253 nt
Filed under: uncultured bacterium
Lineage: Bacteria
Description: partial 16S ribosomal RNA
Rfam family: Bacterial small subunit ribosomal RNA
Source: RNAcentral
UACGUAGGGGGCAAGCGUUGUCCGGAAUCAUUGGGCGUAAAGCGCGUGUAGGCGGCCAGAAAAGUCCGCUGUGAAAACUCGAGGCUCAACUUCGAGCUGUCGGUGGAAACUUUCUGGCUAGAGUCCGGAAGAGGAGAAUGGAAUUCCUGGUGUAGCGGCGAAAUGCGCAGAUAUCAGGAAGAACACCCGUGGCGAAGGCGGUUCUCUGGGACGGUACUGACGCUGAGACGCGAAAGCGUGGGGAGCGAACAGG